UCCCUGGUGGCUCAGAGGGUAAAGCGUCUGCCUGCAAUGUGGAGGACCUGGGUUCAAUCCCUGGGUGGGGAA
This 72-nucleotide transfer RNA is filed under the name Bos taurus (domestic cattle). It matches the Rfam family "tRNA". Rfam says of the family: Transfer RNA (tRNA) molecules are approximately 80 nucleotides in length. Their secondary structure includes four short double-helical elements and three loops (D, anti-codon, and T loops). The record is from Rfam by way of RNAcentral. Lineage: Eukaryota; Metazoa; Chordata; Mammalia; Artiodactyla; Bovidae. RNAcentral also lists the same sequence under 5 other names.